CCGCCCGUAGCUCAGUGGAACAGAGCACUGGUCUUCGGAACCAGGUGUCGUGGGUUCGAAUCCCGCCGGGCGGGCCA
Molecule: transfer RNA, 77 nt
Filed under: Dehalococcoidia bacterium
Lineage: Bacteria; Bacillati; Chloroflexota; Dehalococcoidia
Description: tRNA-Arg
Rfam family: tRNA
About the family: Transfer RNA (tRNA) molecules are approximately 80 nucleotides in length. Their secondary structure includes four short double-helical elements and three loops (D, anti-codon, and T loops).
Source: RNAcentral